GGCGUGUUAGACAAAUCGGUAAAGUCCUCAGGUUUUCACCCUGAUGUAGUAUUAAUUGCUACUUGCGAGUUCGAACCUCGUACACGUCUC
This 90-nucleotide transfer RNA is filed under the name compost metagenome. RNAcentral's name for it is "tRNA-Glu". It matches the Rfam family "tRNA". Rfam says of the family: Transfer RNA (tRNA) molecules are approximately 80 nucleotides in length. Their secondary structure includes four short double-helical elements and three loops (D, anti-codon, and T loops). Further hydrogen bonds mediate the characteristic L-shaped molecular structure. tRNAs have two regions of fundamental functional importance: the anti-codon, which is responsible for specific mRNA codon recognition, and the 3' end, to which the tRNAs corresponding amino acid is attached (by aminoacyl-tRNA synthetases). tRNAs cope with the degeneracy of the genetic code in two manners: having more than one tRNA (with a specific anti-codon) for a particular amino acid; and 'wobble' base-pairing, i.e. permitting non-standard base-pairing at the 3rd anti-codon position. The record is from RNAcentral.